RNAcentral lists this ribosomal RNA (774 nucleotides) under uncultured bacterium. RNAcentral describes it as "bacterial SSU rRNA". It matches the Rfam family "Bacterial small subunit ribosomal RNA", at positions 8 to 796 of the family's 1533-position model. The record is from RNAcentral.
AGAGUUUGAUCAUGGCUCAGGACGAACGCUGGCGGCGUGCUUAACACAUGCAAGUCGAACGGUGAACUCCGCUUGCGGGGGGAUCAGUGGCGAACGGGUGAGUAACACGUGGGCAACCUGCCCCUGGCUCUGGGAUAACUCCAAGAAAUUGGGGCUAAUACCGGAUGUGACCGCUGACCGCAUGGUCUGGUGGUGGAAAGUUUUUCGGCUGGGGAUGGGCCCGCGGCCUAUCAGCUUGUUGGUGGGGUAGUGGCCUACCAAGGCGACGACGGGUAGCCGGCCUGAGAGGGUGACCGGCCACACUGGGACUGAGACACGGCCCAGACUCCUACGGGAGGCAGCAGUGGGGAAUAUUGCGCAAUGGGCGGAAGCCUGACGCAGCGACGCCGCGUGGGGGAUGACGGCCUUCGGGUUGUAAACCUCUUUCAGCAGGGACGAAGCCUUUGGUGACGGUACCUGCAGAAGAAGCACCGGCCAACUACGUGCCAGCAGCCGCGGUAAUACGUAGGGUGCAAGCGUUGUCCGGAAUUAUUGGGCGUAAAGAGCUCGUAGGCGGUUUGUCGCGUCGGCUGUGAAAACCUGAGGCUCAACCUCAGGCCUGCAGUCGAUACGGGCAGACUUGAGUGUUGCAGGGGAGACUGGAAUUCCUGGUGUAGCGGUGAAAUGCGCAGAUAUCAGGAGGAACACCGGUGGCGAAGGCGGGUCUCUGGGCAACAACUGACGCUGAGGAGCGAAAGCGUGGGGAGCGAACAGGAUUAGAUACCCUAGUAGUCC